AUUGAACGCUGGCGGCAUGCUUUACACAUGCAAGUCGAACGGUAACAGGCCUUCGGGUGCUGACGAGUGGCGAACGGGUGAGUAAUGCAUCGGAACGUGCCCAAUCGUGGGGGAUAACGUAGCGAAAGUUACGCUAAUACCGCAUAAGCCCUGAGGGGGAAAGUGGGGGACCGCAAGGCCUCACGCGAAUGGAGCGGCCGAUGUCAGAUUAGCUAGUUGGUGGGGUAAAGGCCCACCAAGGCGACGAUCUGUAGCGGGUCUGAGAGGAUGAUCCGCCACACUGGGACUGAGACACGGCCCAGACUCCUACGGGAGGCAGCAGUGGGGAAUUUUGGACAAUGGGCGCAAGCCUGAUCCAGCCAUUCCGCGUGAGUGAAGAAGGCCUCGGUU
This 390-nucleotide ribosomal RNA is filed under the name uncultured bacterium. Its description in RNAcentral is "bacterial SSU rRNA". It matches the Rfam family "Bacterial small subunit ribosomal RNA", at positions 30 to 424 of the family's 1533-position model. The record is from RNAcentral.